RNAcentral lists this transfer RNA (65 nucleotides) under Lachnaia gallaeca. RNAcentral's name for it is "tRNA-Ala". Lineage: Eukaryota; Metazoa; Arthropoda; Insecta; Coleoptera; Chrysomelidae. The record is from RNAcentral.
AGGGUAAUAGUUAACGAUAACAUUUAACUUGCACUUAAAAAGUAUUGCCAUUGCAAUUUACCUUA